Molecule: long non-coding RNA, 551 nt
Filed under: Coffea arabica (coffee)
Lineage: Eukaryota; Viridiplantae; Streptophyta; Magnoliopsida; Gentianales; Rubiaceae
Description: long non-coding RNA (CARA_LNC001447)
Source: RNAcentral
CACAGGUAGGUUGGAUUAUACAAGAUAUACAAGAAACUGAAAAUGUAAAUAUGAUAAAGUCAAAAGAAACUCUUUAAGAAAAAAUUGUCAAGAGCACGACUACUCGUGUGAUUUCUCCUCUUUUCCCAUGAAAGUUAAGUUACAGAAUGCAUCUGUGCUAGCCAUUGUGCUAUUGGGCUUGAUUUGCUUGCUUCUACUUUGCUGCAAACUUACUACGUGAAGCAGGUGUACCGAAUAGUGCCAAAAAAAACUGCAGCCAGAAUGGUUUUCAUUGCCACAGGACAGCGAGAUGCACGAGAGAAGUUGACUCUCAGGGCCUGGUCUCUGCAAAAUCCAAAUGCAGACGGUGGUACUAUUAGAGCAAAAUAUUUGCCAUAAGUUUCUAUACCAUGCCUGCUCAUGUGUUCUCUUGAUAAACUGAACUCAGUAUUAUUCUUCAAACCUUUGCGCAGCAGCUCAAUAUGACUAGAAUUCUGAUUAGAAGACGGGAUGAAGUAAGCAGCUUGAAGGAGUGCCAGUGACAAUACAAAUAUCCACUUGACAGUAAAAAG